GCCUCCAUAGCUCAAUGGAUAGGGCACUGGUCUAGUAAACCAGGGGUCGGGGGCUCGAUCCUCCCUGGAGGUA
Paragonimus skrjabini miyazakii is the source of this 73-nucleotide non-coding RNA. The record is from the annotation of a GenBank genome assembly. NCBI's taxonomy places the organism in Eukaryota, Metazoa, Platyhelminthes, Trematoda, Plagiorchiida, Troglotrematidae.